CCUGAGGGAUUUAAGACUGCGGGGAAACAACAGUGUCUCUCUGCCCUGUGGGAAUUUAUGUGGGAAGUUGUACUUGAGAGCAAAAACAGACACUUGUUGAGGAGAUUGUUGAACCACGGGAGACGUGGUGUUGAGAGAAAAGUCAUACCGACCGGAUGAUGACGGCUUUUAUUUUCCCUGCAUACUUAAACAUUAUGUCCUCGAAGUGGAGCAAAGUUAUUCAUCUUCCAACAGGAACAGCAAUAUAAGAUCUCCACCUCCACACCGAUUCCCCCGCGCAAUCAGUGAUACUCCUCGACAGCACUGAGGUUUAUAAGGCUGUGGCUGUCUGUGCUAACAUCCAGGCAAGUUAAGAGGCCACGUUAAGACUGAACGGUGGACUAAAUGAUAUAUUCCACAAACCUCAGCGAACACAAACGGAGCGUCGUGUUUCAGAAAGACCUGACCAUGGCGGACAGCGGCAAGAGAAGCAGGCCCACAGCGGAAGGU
Acanthopagrus latus (yellowfin seabream) is the source of this 489-nucleotide long non-coding RNA. RefSeq lists it as uncharacterized. The transcript has 3 exons. NCBI's taxonomy places the organism in Eukaryota, Metazoa, Chordata, Actinopteri, Spariformes, Sparidae. The record is from RefSeq and is a predicted model, not a curated record.